This 335-nucleotide ribosomal RNA is filed under the name uncultured bacterium. RNAcentral's name for it is "bacterial SSU rRNA". It matches the Rfam family "Bacterial small subunit ribosomal RNA", at positions 32 to 332 of the family's 1533-position model. The record is from RNAcentral.
GACGAAACGCUGGCGGCGUGCCUAAUACAUGCAAGUCGAGCGAGCGUGAAUUCAAAGAUCCCUUCGGGGUGAUUUGUUGGACGCUAGCGGCGGAUGGGUGAGUAACACGUGGGCAAUCUGCCCUAAAAGACUGGGAUACCAUUUGGAAACAGGUGCUAAUACCGGAUAACAACAUGAAUCGCAUGAUUCAAGUUUGAAAGGCGGUCGCAAGCUGUCACUUUAGGAUGAGCCCGCGGCGCAUUAGGCUAGUUGGUGGGGUACAGGCCUACCAAGGGCAAUGAUGCCGUAGCCGAGUUGAGAGACUGAUCGGCCACAUUGGGACUGAGACACGGCCC